UAAUUAGUUGCCAAAAUUUAGUUCAAAUUUUGGAAAAAUCUGCGUGAUAUAUGGGAUUGGAAUAUAUUUAAAAUGUUUUUCGUUUGUUAAUCAAUUUAUUGCUGAAAAACCAAUAAUUAAAAACCAGUGGCAGCCUUUAUAAAUAAGUUCCAACUCCAGGAUUUAUUUCACAAAAUGGCUGCAAAAAUGUAUAUAUAGAUUAUUUUAUUGAUAUUACUUGACGUUAAUGCAAAUAUUAAA
Molecule: small RNA, 240 nt
Filed under: Arabidopsis thaliana (thale cress)
Lineage: Eukaryota; Viridiplantae; Streptophyta; Magnoliopsida; Brassicales; Brassicaceae
Description: ATSL213570
Source: RNAcentral